This 548-nucleotide ribosomal RNA is filed under the name uncultured bacterium. RNAcentral's name for it is "bacterial SSU rRNA". It matches the Rfam family "Bacterial small subunit ribosomal RNA", at positions 777 to 1326 of the family's 1533-position model. The record is from RNAcentral.
AAUAGAUACCCGGGUAGUCCACGCUGUAAACAAUGGACACUUGGUGUUGGAGGUAUUGACCCCUUCAGUGCCGUAGCUAACGCGUUAAGUGUCCCGCCUGGGGAGUACGGUCGCAAGAUUAAAACUCAAAGAAAUUGACGGGGGCCCGCACAAGCGGUGGAGCAUGUGGUUUAAUUCGAUGCAACGCGAAAAACCUUACCUGGGUUUGAAUUGCAAAGGAAGACAGUAGAGAUAUUGUCGCUCUUCGGAGUCUUUGUGAAGGUGCUGCAUGGCUGUCGUCAGCUCGUGCCGUGAGAUGUUGGGUUAAGUCCCGCAACGAGCGCAACCCUUACCUUUAGUUGCCAGCAUUUAGUUGGGCACUCUAAAGGGACUGCCGACGUUAAGUCGGAGGAAGGUGGGGAUGACGUCAAGUCCUCAUGGCCCUUAUGUCCAGGGCUACACACGUGCUACAAUGGAUAUUACAGAGGGUUGCUAAUCCGUAAGGUAGAGCUAAUCCCACAAAAAUAUUCUAAGUUCGGAUUGAGGUCUGCAACUCGACCUCAUGAAAC